GGAGUCUGGGCCGUGUCUCAGUCCCAAUGUGGCCGUCCACCCUCUCAGGUCGGCUACCGAUCGUCGCCUUGGUGGGCUGUUAUCUCACCAACUAGCUAAUCGGACGCGAGCCCAUCUUUAACCGGAUUACUCCUUUGACCCCUUCGCUAUGUAGCGUUGUGGUCUUAUGCGGUAUUAGCACAUCUUUCGAUGCGUUAUCCCCCUGUCAAAGGCAGGUUGCUCACGCGUUACUCACCCGUCCGCCGCUGAAACAUCCAAAAAGCAAGCUUUCCAAAUGUCUCCGCUCGACUUGCAUGUGUUAGGCACGCCGCCAGCGUUCGUCCUGAGCCAUGAUCAAACUACU
This 343-nucleotide ribosomal RNA is filed under the name uncultured Eubacteriales bacterium. Its description in RNAcentral is "uncultured Clostridiales bacterium partial 16S ribosomal RNA". The record is from RNAcentral. Lineage: Bacteria; Bacillati; Bacillota; Clostridia; Eubacteriales.